Macrobrachium nipponense is the source of this 1062-nucleotide long non-coding RNA. RefSeq lists it as uncharacterized. The record is from RefSeq and is a predicted model, not a curated record. NCBI's taxonomy places the organism in Eukaryota, Metazoa, Arthropoda, Malacostraca, Decapoda, Palaemonidae. The transcript has 2 exons.
GAAGGUUAAUCUUCUAAUGCAAUGCACUGUUCGUCUUUGAUAGACAGCACAACCUCUCUCGCGUAACACAACAUCGGCUACGGAAGGCAACUACGCUACAGAAAGCCCUCAUAUAAAGGAGGCUCCCUUUUCAGAAUCCGUGUGGCCUUGUCAGCGUCCGUGAUCACAGUGAUUGGUGGAGUGGGACGUCUCAAGUUUUCAGUCUACAAAUAAUUCUUGUAACAUAUUCAAAUUUGUUACCACCGUUGUGACUCGACUCUGUUUCAGUUUACGCCGGAGAAAACUAUGGGCAUACACGGCUGAAUACAAAUGAUUCACUCAUUCAAUUUUAGUCUGUCGAUAUUUUCUCAGUGGAAGACUGGGACCAGACAACUCCGGGUGAAAUUCCAGGCCUGCUCAUUUUUGUAGUGUUUGAACCGGAUACUUCGAAGUGCGCACCUUGGUGAACAUGACUCCGCCUUAGUGACCGGAGAUCCUGAAAUUGAAUGGAACUGAAUAUAUAAGCAAGGCCCAAAGGCAAAUCACAGGGACCUAUGAGGUCAUUCAGGGCUAAAACGGAUAUUGGCGGUAAAAGGUCUGAAAGGUGCAACAGGAAGAAAACCUCGUAUAGUUGCACUAUUAAUCAAUUGUUAGACGAGGGUGGAAAGUAAGAUGGAAGAGAAGAUGAACGGAGGUACAGUAAAAGCAAAGCAAAGAACCUUUGCUGACGGCACUAACCCCCUACGGGGGAUACGGCGAGAUCUUCAGUCAAUAAAGGAAAAAAGGACAUCCCUAAAUAGGCGGACGUAUGCAGAUGAGCACAUCAAAUUCCUAUGAUUUUGAAUUCUAUACAUAACACCGCAAAGUGUGUAUAGAAGUAGCCUUCAACUCAGCGGUUUAUUUUUGUUUUAUUUGAAAAAGUUAGUCUUAUCAGACCAGUGGGGUUAAAUCAGCUCUUCUAAUGCUGGCCCAAAGGAUUAGUUAGUAAUCUUACGUACAGAAUGUUUUUACAAUAAAUUAGAUUUUAUUUAGGAGAUUGUAGAUUUGAAAGAAAAAAUAAAAUUUAUAUUACUCCAAAAAAAA